GCCUCGGUAGUAUAGUGGUCAGUUUCCCCGCCUGUAACGUGGGAGACCGGGGUUUCAAUUUCCCGCCGGGGAG
Daphnia magna is the source of this 73-nucleotide transfer RNA. It matches the Rfam family "tRNA". Rfam says of the family: Transfer RNA (tRNA) molecules are approximately 80 nucleotides in length. Their secondary structure includes four short double-helical elements and three loops (D, anti-codon, and T loops). Lineage: Eukaryota; Metazoa; Arthropoda; Branchiopoda; Diplostraca; Daphniidae. The record is from Rfam.